GAUCCUGGCUCAGUAUGAACGCUGGCGGCGCGCCUAACACAUGCAAGUCGAACGGCACCUGCCCUCGGGCAGAAGCGAGUGGCGAACGGCUGAGUAACACGUGGAGAACCUGCCCCCUCCCCCGGGAUAGCCGCCCGAAAGGACGGGUAAUACCGGAUACCCCGUGGUGCCGCAUGGCACCCCGGCUAAAGCCCCGACGGGAGGGGAUGGCUCCGCGGCCCAUCAGGUAGACGGCGGGGUGACGGCCCACCGUGCCGACAACGGGUAG
This 268-nucleotide ribosomal RNA is filed under the name uncultured bacterium. RNAcentral's name for it is "partial 16S ribosomal RNA". It matches the Rfam family "Bacterial small subunit ribosomal RNA", at positions 15 to 286 of the family's 1533-position model. The record is from RNAcentral.